Molecule: long non-coding RNA, 1665 nt
Organism: Anolis carolinensis (green anole)
Lineage: Eukaryota; Metazoa; Chordata; Lepidosauria; Squamata; Anolidae
Exons: 2
Source: RefSeq, a predicted model, not a curated record
AGGAUUUGAUCCAGUUGGGAGUCAAGAUAACUUUUCACAUGAAUGUUGCAUGGCCAACGGUAGUGGAACGGAGGUGGGACUUUAUUGUUUUUUUCCCUCUCUUCUUGAGCAAGCCACAUAAUCAGUUAUGAGUAAGAGAUAAACAAUUAAUGCAAAUUGGGGGUGUCACCUUGCCAAGGAUAAUUGCAUUGGCAAUUAAUUACAAUGGAUUACGAGGGAAGGUAUCUGAUGCCCCGAGGGUUGAGUGGGACAACGUAUAAAAGGGCUUGCAGAUUUGGGGCUCGUCCAUCUUUUCCUCUUGCCACUUGAAGCCCUUCGCUCAGCUUUGACUCUUCUGGAAAAAUAACAGCAAUGUCUUCCUACGGCUACGGUAACUGCUAUGCCCAAUGCCCGGCAUCAACGGUGACCAUCCAACCUCCACCCUUUGUUCUGAACAUCCCAGGACCAGCCCUCUAUUGUCCCAAUCAAGCGUUUUGCAUCGAACAGUACAACCCAUGUGCUGGGUAUGGGAGCAGAUAUCCAGCAUUAGCUUCCUCAGAGUUUUUCAGUGUAGGAUCUGGCUACAACCCUAGAGCCCUUUACAACUCCUGCAGCUAUAGAAGGUAUUAGUCUGGAAAGACUAAGGCUGUAGUGGAGGUCCAUAAUCUUGGGCUUCUCUUUUUUGGAACUUCUGAGCAUCCAACCUCCUGUAGGCAAGUUCAUGCGCUUGUGAAUGCUUUGUCUUUCUGAAAAAUCAGCCUUGUAUGUCUUUCUGGAGCUUAUUCUUUCGCUGAGCUAUGUCUACUCCAUUCUUUUUUUGUUCUACUUCUACUUCUUUCCCAGAGGUGUUAAGCAUGAAAACCUUGUGAAGGGCCACCCAAAAUUAGAGUCAACUUGAAACACCAUAUCUAAUGUUAGGCAAAUUAUUUGUAAAAUAAGAAAGAUGCAGAUAGAUUUGCUGCUUCUUUCUGGUCUCUUCAGCUUUCCAUCUGGCAUAUUCAACAGAUAAAUGGAUGAAUCCAGACGACCGUGAUCUAUGUAGAAUAAAAUGAAUCUAGUUUUGGCCUUCACGAGAUUAUGAAAACAGGACAUAUCACGUAUCUGUUGGAAUCAUUUGACAACGGUCGUAGUGAGCUUGGUGUCUUCUACUCUAUGUAGCCUUUGGUUGACAUCUCAGCAACAUCUCCCAUACACAGGAUGGGAGACAACGUCAUCCAGAGAUUAUCUGCAACCCAAUGAAGACUUCAACAUCAUACUUGCGUGAACUAGUCCUUAUGGAUGCAACGAUCCUGUUGCCAAGCACUACUUUGGACACAAGAUUUUUCCACUGAGUCUCUCCAGUGUAACUAGGUAGAGCUAUGUGAGCUGAAGCACAUUGGUUGGAUUUCCACCCUUGAGUUCCAAACCCAUGCCAGAAUCCCAGCACAACUACUCUGUGCCAGCUCCCAGUUGCCUCAUUGCGUUAUACAAAGCCUAGAAUCCUAUCAUCAAUUGCCAUGAAAUUAAAACAACAGUACCCAUACUGGUUGCACCCCACCCCAAGCAACUUGGAUAUCAAUGCUGUUCAGUGGGAAAUCUUGUUUGUUGUUGAUUGUUUAUUCCCUUUCUGUCCCAUACUAUGCUUCAUUGUGUUUAUCCAAUGGUCUAUUCCAUUCCUCUGUUGUAUUAAAGCAUUUCCGUGCAGCA